UACGUAGGGUGCAAGCGUUAAUCGGAAUUACUGGGCGUAAAGCGUGCGCAGGCGGUUAUAUAAGACAGAUGUGAAAUCCCCGGGCUCAACCUGGGAACUGCAUUUGUGACUGUAUAGCUAGAGUACGGUAGAGGGGGAUGGAAUUCCGCGUGUAGCAGUGAAAUGCGUAGAUAUACGGAGGAACACCGAUGGCGAAGGCAAUCCCCUGGACCUGUACUGACGCUCAUGCACGAAAGCGUGGGGAGCAAACAGG
This 253-nucleotide ribosomal RNA is filed under the name uncultured bacterium. RNAcentral's name for it is "partial 16S ribosomal RNA". It matches the Rfam family "Bacterial small subunit ribosomal RNA", at positions 524 to 776 of the family's 1533-position model. The record is from RNAcentral.